RNAcentral lists this transfer RNA (65 nucleotides) under Opistoplatys sp. HL-2013. Its description in RNAcentral is "tRNA-Arg". Lineage: Eukaryota; Metazoa; Arthropoda; Insecta; Hemiptera; Reduviidae. The record is from RNAcentral.
AAGUAGUGAAGUAAAAAUAUACAAUUAGUUUCGACCUAAUUAUUGAGAAUAAAUCUCCUUACUUA